AUCAGCAACCAGACUCAACAUCUGGACAUCACUCACCUCUGUCACACACAUGCAGAUCAACACCUACCUUUGUACAUAGUGCUGAUCUCUGCUGCUGCUGCUGGAUCUCUGUUGAUUGUACUCGUGAUCUGCUGCAUCUGCAGGAGAUGUAGAAAAACAGUCGAGACACGGGAGGAAGACGGAACUGAUUCAUCAUUGUGUAAAUCAACAACACGACAAGAGAAAUCAAAGACGGAGUCUGUGUAUGAAAAUGUCCCCAAAAAACGAUGAUCAAAUGCUGUAUCUUUCUACUGGAACUGAUGUCAGAGGUCAUACAGGACAACGCCUCACGUUUUUGGUUUUAUUCACAUUAAUUCUAUGACAAGAUGUCUAAAUUUGUUUUUGCUCAUAUGCACAUAGUUGUUAUUGUAUUGUUUGAAAUGUUGUUUCUCUGCAUUAGUUUAAUUUAGUGGUCCUCUAUUAGCAUCCAGAAACUCAACUAAAAUGUGCUAAUUUUAUCUUAUCAUUUGGAAGUUUAUCUAACUUUAAUUAUUAAACAUUUAUCCUACUCUUCUGUGCUCCUUUGUCUAUCAAUUACUGUUCUUGUUUGUUUGUUUUCUCUGGUUUACAAUAUUACACACACACAAUGCUGAAUAUUUUGGAAUGUAACAAGCACGUCAUCACUCUCUGAUGUCUCUCUAGCAGAGGUGUAAAGACCAGGGGUCAGAAAGUAAAAGUCCUGCCAUAUUUUUACUCCACCCACUGAAGCAGUGUUAAAGUU
This is a long non-coding RNA of Megalobrama amblycephala (Wuchang bream), 760 nucleotides long. RefSeq lists it as uncharacterized. Lineage: Eukaryota; Metazoa; Chordata; Actinopteri; Cypriniformes; Xenocyprididae. The record is from RefSeq and is a predicted model, not a curated record. The transcript has 4 exons.